AUGCAUGGUGGAUCACGCACGCCGCAGCGCUCCGGCUCGCGCCGGAGGAACACCCCAUCGCCGGCUCGUCGGGGACGAAGCCCGACACGGCGCGGUGGGAGAGAGUUGGUCAUCCACGAGCGGGUGGUCAGAGAUGGCGGCGCGGACGCGAUCCCGAUGCUGACUCAGACGAACUACGUCGAGUGGUCAAUCCUCAUGAAGGUACAUCUUCAGGCUGCACGGCUGUGGGAAGCCGUCGAGAUGGGCGACGCCGAUCACCCUGAUGAUCGUACCGCACUGGGCGUCAUCCUCCGCGGCGUCCCGCCGGAGAUGCUGCGGACGCUGGCGGCAAAGGACUCCGCCAAGGAGGCGUGGGACACCGUCAAGACGCUUCACAUGGGCGUCGAGCGCGUGCGCGAGUCACGGGCUCAGGUGCUGCGCCAUGAUUUCGAAAAUCUCUCCUUCGAGGAGGGAGAGACAGUGGAGGACUUCGCGCUUCGCCUCACCGGCCUGAUCCGCGAUCUUCAGGAACUUGGCGACGACGUCGACGAGAUCAAGGCGGUGAGGAAGUUUCUGCGGGUGGUGCCGCCUCGCUACGCCCAGGUAGCCAUCUCCAUUGAGACUCUUGUUGAUCUCAAAACACUGACAAUUGAGGAGGUGGCCGGCCGUUUUCUUGCCAUCGAGGAGCGCCUCGACCCCGACACCGGCGGCUCCGGCGGCAAGCUGCUCCUCACAAAGGAGGAGUGGCACGAGCGGGAAAGGCAACGGCAAUCAGGCGGAGGCUCGUCCGGCGGUGGAUCCAAAGGCGGCAAGGGGAAACCCAAGCCGAAGCCUCCCACCGGCGCCGGCGGAGGACAACCUCACGGCGGUGCUCCUAAACGCAAGGGGAACUGCUGCAAGUGCGGCAAGUGGGGCCACUGGGCACGCGAGUGCUACGGCAAGCCCAAGAAGGAGCGCCGCGAGGAGACAAACGUGGCGCAAGUCAAAGAGGUCGAGGAGCCGGGGCUGCUCAUGGCGGUGCUCGAUGCACCGGAGGAGAUCACAAUCGCAGCUCCGCAAGCCGUCUUCCUCAACGAGGAAAAAGUGGUGCCCAAGGACGUCGGCGAUGGCUCUUGGUACGCGGACACAGGGGCCAGCAGCCAUAUGACUGGCCGCAAGGAGUUAUUUGCCACGUUGGACGAGACGGUGCGCGGUACUGUCCGCUUCGGAGAUGGAUCAGUCGUCGAGAUAUGCGGCAAAGGAACUGUGUUGUUUGAGUGCCUCACCGGCGAUCAGCGUGUACUCUCGGAGGUAUAUUACAUUCCCCGUCUUCGGAGUAACAUUGUUUCGCUCGGACAGCUAGAUGAGAAGGGCUGCGAGAUCGUCAUCAAGCGCAGUGUUCUCGCGAUCUUCGACCAAGAGGGACGGCUGCUGGCGCGUGUCAAGCGCUCAGCAAACCGUCUGUACAAGCUGAACCUACAGCGUGCUGAGCCGGUGUGCCUGCUGUCCAAAGGAGGCGACCUGGCCUGGCUGUGGCAUGCACGUUUUGGGCACCUCCACUUCCGUGCAUUGUGUGCCAUGGCAAGGAAGAAGAUGGUGCGUGGGAUUCCUGAUGUGGAUCACGUUGGGGAGUAUUGUGAUGGCUGCAUGCUCGGGAAACAACACCGACUACCCUUCCCGCAGGCUGCAACAUAUCGUGCAAAGGCGUCCCUGGAGCUCGUACACUCGGAUUUGUGCGGUCCGAUCUCUCCGCCAACACCGGGAGGUAGAAAUUAUUUCUUGUUAAUUGUGGAUGAUUACUCUCGGUACAUGUGGAUUGAGGUACUCAGGACAAAGAGCGAGGCUUUUGCUUUCUUCAAAAAGGUGAAAGCGGCAGCAGAGACCAGGAGCGGCUGCAAGCUGCUCGCAUUCCGCUCGGAUCGCGGCGGGGAGUUCAACUCCACGGCGUUCGUCGAGUACUGCAACGAGCUCGCCAUCAAGCACUUCACGACCGCCCCGUACACGCCGCAACAAAACGGGGUUGUCGAGCGCCGUAAUCAAACGGUGGUGGAGAUGGCGAGGUGCAUGCUGAAGAGAAUGGGCGUGCCCGCGGUCUUCUGGGGAGAGGCCGUCAAGGCGGCCGUCUAUGUCCUCAACCGAUCGCCGACGCGGAGCCUCGACGGGGUGACUCCGUACGAGCUGUGGCAUGGCAAGAAGCCGAGUGUGGCUCACCUGCGCACCUUUCGGGUGUCACGCGCACGUGAAGAAGCUCGGACCCGGGAUCAACAAGCUGGCCGACAGAUCGACGCCCGGCGUCAUGAUGGGAUAUGA
This 2268-nucleotide ribosomal RNA is filed under the name Triticum aestivum (bread wheat). RNAcentral's name for it is "partial small subunit ribosomal RNA". The record is from RNAcentral. Lineage: Eukaryota; Viridiplantae; Streptophyta; Magnoliopsida; Poales; Poaceae.